GCGCGACUUCCCUGGCCCUCCCCCUGCGGACCAGUGAACCUCGCCCGAGGGCUCAAUAAAGAAGAUUUUUGCCCUCUUUUUCUCACCUCUCAGCCUUAUUGAUCCAUGGUGCCCUUCCAUUGCCUUUCAUUGGUGCCGAAACCCGGGAGGGGACACCUCCUAAGCCCCCCCAGAGGCUCAGGGGGACUCCCCUCCUGGUCGGAUCAGUCCUCUCCCUCAGUCAGGUCAGGCUUCUCCUCCACGGCCAUCUGUCCAUUUCGUCCGGUUACUUGCUGCCAGGUCGCAGUUGCUGCAGCUACUCCAGUCCAAUUCGGCCGACGCUAGUGCCAUACCAGUCCACUGCAUCUACAACUCCUAACACAUUCGCUGCGGGCAGUGAUAUCCACUAAUCCUGGAUGAGGCAGCGGAGGGCCCCCAAACCCCUAUCCAGGACUUAGUAAAGCUGGCGUUCAAAGUUUUUAAUUCCUGAGAGGAGGCGGCUGAGGUACAACGACAGGCAAGCCUGAAACAAAAAGUUCAGCUCCAAACCCAAGCCCUGGCAGCUGCCCUGCAACCGGCAUUCCCUAAGAGCCGCGGCAGGAGAGGUAGAGGUACAAUCUCCCGGGCCCCGUCUGGCGUCUGCUUCAAGUGAGGCAACUCAGGACACUGGGCCAGCCGGUGCCCUAGCCAACAGCAACCGUCCUGCCCGCCUUGCAACUGUUUCAAGUGUGGCAAUCCAGGUCAUUGGGCAAAACAGUGCCCAAACCCCAAGCCGCCAACACACCCGUGCCCUAACUGCCAACAAAUGGAGCACUGGAGGUCAGACUGCCCCAGCCUCGGAGCGGCCGCUGUGGCUCCACAUGGCGACCCCUCCCUGGAUGGCGAAGGUGCCCUCUAGCUCCUCCAACUGGAUGACGACUGAAGAGGCCCAGGCUCGGGAACCCCUCUCACCCUUGCCGAGCCCAGGGUAAUGCUUCAGGUAGCGGAUCAACUGAGAUGCAAAACCCAUGUUCACAUCAUGAGUGAGUCUUCUAACUCGGACAAUGCAAUCAACAAAUUCUAAGACCAAAUUCCGGUGGCACUGGCUCCAAAGCUCCUGAGUGUGGAAGGAGGUGAACAGGGAAAAGCAGAGAGGACAAAAGUCACAUCCCCUCCCCACAGACCCAUACUGGGGAAGGGUGGAAGAUUUAGCUGCGAGUCAAGUUCAGAAUUUUGAUUAACAUCUUGGCAUGCACAUUCGAAUUUCAGAAUCAAGACUGUUGGCCAUAAAAAAUGACUAUAGCCUUGUGUAUUACCUGAACUGAGCAGUAAAAAAAAAGUCAUGGUCCUUCUGGGGCUUUUAUUCUGAGACAGGAACCCUGAACAGGCAGGAGAAAGGGAAUGUUGACAGAGAAACAAAGACAGUUGGCGACACACGCUGACCGCCAUGCGGACGUCCAUCAAACCCAGCACUGGCCCUGGGUACGUGCGCCUUUGCUAUUACCCCAAUACAUUUUCUUCUGCAGAGCAAGCAACAGAACACAUGCAGACCUUAAUAAAUACCACUGGGUAAUGUGACAAUGGCCAAACUCUCCUCACGGGGGAGAGAGUGUCCCCCAGUUUUGCUCCCUUUUAAUUUCCAGGGUUCAUAAGUAGCUCUAAAGCUUUGCUCUACAAGGUUGAUACAUACGAUAUUAAUGUUUCCCCUAAGCAGUAUAACAUAAAUAUAUUUGCUAUCUUGACA
Molecule: long non-coding RNA, 1702 nt
Organism: Homo sapiens (human)
Lineage: Eukaryota; Metazoa; Chordata; Mammalia; Primates; Hominidae
Product: long intergenic non-protein coding RNA 1287
Source: Ensembl